This 253-nucleotide ribosomal RNA is filed under the name uncultured bacterium. Its description in RNAcentral is "partial 16S ribosomal RNA". It matches the Rfam family "Bacterial small subunit ribosomal RNA", at positions 524 to 776 of the family's 1533-position model. The record is from RNAcentral.
UACGUAGGGGGCAAGCGUUAUCCGGAUUUACUGGGUGUAAAGGGAGCGUAGACGGCAUGGCAAGUCAGAUGUGAAAGCCCGGGGCUCAACCCCGGGACUGCAUUUGAAACUGUCAGGCUGGAGUGCAGGAGAGGUAAGCGGAAUUCCUAGUGUAGCGGUGAAAUGUGUAGAUAUUAGGAGGAACACCAGUGGCGAAGGCGGCUUACUGGACUGUAACUGACGUUGAGGCUCGAAAGCGUGGGGAGCAAACAGG